UGGUAUCAAGUUGAAAUGGCUUAGUUAGUUUUAUGUGUUAAUUAGAAAUGAUAAUAGGAUUUUAUUUACUUAAGUUGUUAUGUCUAUAUGUCAAGUAGGAUUAAGUAUAUAAAUGCCUUGGUUGAAAUACUGAAAUUGGGUUGGUUAUGUUUGAAAUUUUGCAGGGGGUUUAAUGUAAAAAUAAGUCGAAAUGCUGCCGAAAUUUUUAUAAAAAAAAAA
Molecule: long non-coding RNA, 219 nt
Filed under: Gossypium raimondii (Peruvian cotton)
Lineage: Eukaryota; Viridiplantae; Streptophyta; Magnoliopsida; Malvales; Malvaceae
Description: long non-coding RNA (GRAI_LNC003517)
Source: RNAcentral